AGCAGCCGCGGUAAUUCCAGCUCCAAUAGCGUAUAUUAAAGUUGUUGCAGUUAAAAAGCUCGUAGUUGAAUUUCGGGAUCAAGGAAUCGGUCAUGCCUCGGUAUGUACUGGUUUUAUUGGUUCUCACCUUCUAAAGAACCAUAAUGUCAUUCAUUUGAUGUUAUGGGGAAUUAGGACUGUUACCUUGAAAAAUUAGAGUGUUUAAAGCAGGCUUACGCUUGAAUACAUUAGCAUGGAAUAAUGAAAUAGGACAUCAGAUUCUAUUUUGUUGGUUUCUAGGAUCGAUGUAAUGAUUAAUAGGGAUAGUUGGGGGCAUUAGUAUUCAAUUGUCAGAGGUGAAAUUCUUGGAUUUAUUGAAGACUAACUACUGCGAAAGCAUUUGCCAAGGAUGUUUUCAUUAAUCAAGAACGAAAGUUAGGGGAUCGAAGACGAUCAGAUACCGUCGUAGUCUUAACCAUAAACUAUACCGACUAGGGAUCGGAUGAUGUUAAUUUUUAAUGUACCCA
RNAcentral lists this ribosomal RNA (506 nucleotides) under uncultured Glomeraceae. RNAcentral's name for it is "SSU rRNA". It matches the Rfam family "Eukaryotic small subunit ribosomal RNA", at positions 569 to 1082 of the family's 1831-position model. The record is from RNAcentral. Lineage: Eukaryota; Fungi; Glomeromycota; Glomeromycetes; Glomerales; Glomeraceae.